CCCUUAGAUGUUCUGGGCCGCGCGCGCUACACUGUUCGACGCAGCGAGUCUUAACCUUGACCGAAAGGUUUGGGUAAUCUUCAGCAAAGUCGAACGUGAUGGGGAUCGAUCAUUGCAAUUAUUGAUCGUGAACGAGGAAUUCCUAGUAAGUGCAAGUCAUCAGCUUGCGCUGAUUACGUCCCUGCCCUUUGUACACACCGCCCGUCGCUACUACCGAUUGAAUGGUUUAGUGAGAUCUCUGGAUUGACGCUGGCUAGGGGGCGACCCUUGGCCAGACUGUUGAGAAACUGCUCAAACUUGAUCAUUUAGAGGAAGUAAAAGUCGUAACA
This 329-nucleotide ribosomal RNA is filed under the name uncultured eukaryote. Its description in RNAcentral is "partial 18S ribosomal RNA". It matches the Rfam family "Eukaryotic small subunit ribosomal RNA", at positions 1470 to 1796 of the family's 1831-position model. The record is from RNAcentral.